Molecule: ribosomal RNA, 3112 nt
Filed under: Salmonella enterica subsp. enterica serovar Typhimurium
Lineage: Bacteria; Pseudomonadati; Pseudomonadota; Gammaproteobacteria; Enterobacterales; Enterobacteriaceae
Description: bacterial LSU rRNA
Rfam family: Bacterial large subunit ribosomal RNA
Source: RNAcentral
GGGUUGUGAGGUUAAGCGACUAAGCGUACACGGUGGAUGCCCUGGCAGUCAGAGGCGAUGAAGGGCGUGCUAAUCUGCGAUAAGCGCCGGUAAGGUGAUAUGAACCGUUAUAACCGGCGAUACCCGAAUGGGGAAACCCAGUGUGAUUCGUCACACUAUCAUUAACUGAAUCCAUAGGUUAAUGAGGCGAACCGGGGGAACUGAAACAUCUAAGUACCCCGAGGAAAAGAAAUCAACCGAGAUUCCCCCAGUAGCGGCGAGCGAACGGGGAGGAGCCCAGAGCCUGAAUCAGCAUGUGUGUUAGUGGAAGCGUCUGGAAAGGCGCGCGAUACAGGGUGACAGCCCCGUACACAAAAGCGCAUGUGCUGUGAGCUCGAUGAGUAGGGCGGGACACGUGGUAUCCUGUCUGAAUAUGGGGGGACCAUCCUCCAAGGCUAAAUACUCCUGACUGACCGAUAGUGAACCAGUACCGUGAGGGAAAGGCGAAAAGAACCCCGGCGAGGGGAGUGAAAAAGAACCUGAAACCGUGUACGUACAAGCAGUGGGAGCCCCACCACUAAGCCAGUGGUGAACUCCACAUCCGCAUCCUUUGCUGAGGAUACGGUUAACGGAGCGAAAGCGACGUUCAACCGCAAAACAAGCAGAGGGGGCUUAGUGGUGGGGUGACUGCGUACCUUUUGUAUAAUGGGUCAGCGACUUAUAUUCUGUAGCAAGGUUAACCGAAUAGGGGAGCCGGAGGGAAACCGAGUCUUAAUUGGGCGUUAAGUUGCAGGGUAUAGACCCGAAACCCGGUGAUCUAGCCAUGGGCAGGUUGAAGGUUGGGUAACACUAACUGGAGGACCGAACCGACUAAUGUUGAAAAAUUAGCGGAUGACCUGUGGCUGGGGGUGAAAGGCCAAUCAAACCGGGAGAUAGCUGGUUCUCCCCGAAAGCUAUUUAGGUAGCGCCUCGUGAAUUCAUCUCCGGGGGUAGAGCACUGUUUCGGCUAGGGGGCCAUCCCGGCUUACCAACCCGAUGCAAACUGCGAAUACCGGAGAAUGUUAUCACGGGAGACACACGGCGGGUGCUAACGUCCGUCGUGAAGAGGGAAACAACCCAGACCGCCAGCUAAGGUCCCAAAGUCAUGGUUAAGUGGGAAACGAUGUGGGAAGGCCCAGACAGCCAGGAUGUUGGCUUAGAAGCAGCCAUCAUUUAAAGAAAGCGUAAUAGCUCACUGGUCGAGUCGGCCUGCGCGGAAGAUGUAACGGGGCUAAACCAUGCACCGAAGCUGCGGCAGCGAACGUAUCACCCAAGACAACUUUACGGAGUUGACGAUUGACGGAGCGAAGCGACGUCAAAGCGUUCAUUAAAGUCGAGUUGGCUUAGGGAUACGUUCGUUGGGUAGGGGAGCGUUCUGUAAGCCUGUGAAGGUGUGUCGUGAGGCAUGCUGGAGGUAUCAGAAGUGCGAAUGCUGACAUAAGUAACGAUAAAGCGGGUGAAAAGCCCGCUCGCCGGAAGACCAAGGGUUCCUGUCCAACGUUAAUCGGGGCAGGGUGAGUCGACCCCUAAGGCGAGGCCGAAAGGCGUAGUCGAUGGGAAACGGGUUAAUAUUCCCGUACUUGGUGUUACUGCGAAGGGGGGACGGAGAAGGCUAUGUUGGCCGGGCGACGGUUGUCCCGGUUUAAGCGUGUAGGUGUGUGUUCCAGGUAAAUCCGGUUCACUUUAACACUGAGGCGUGACGACGAGGCACUACGGUGCUGAAGCAACAAAUGCCCUGCUUCCAGGAAAAGCCUCUAAGCAUCAGGUAACACGAAAUCGUACCCCAAACCGACACAGGUGGUCAGGUAGAGAAUACCAAGGCGCUUGAGAGAACUCGGGUGAAGGAACUAGGCAAAAUGGUGCCGUAACUUCGGGAGAAGGCACGCUGACACGUAGGUGAAGUGAUUUACUCAUGGAGCUGAAGUCAGUCGAAGAUACCAGCUGGCUGCAACUGUUUAUUAAAAACACAGCACUGUGCAAACACGAAAGUGGACGUAUACGGUGUGACGCCUGCCCGGUGCCGGAAGGUUAAUUGAUGGGGUCAGCGUAAGCGAAGCUCCUGAUCGAAGCCCCGGUAAACGGCGGCCGUAACUAUAACGGUCCUAAGGUAGCGAAAUUCCUUGUCGGGUAAGUUCCGACCUGCACGAAUGGCGUAAUGAUGGCCAGGCUGUCUCCACCCGAGACUCAGUGAAAUUGAACUCGCUGUGAAGAUGCAGUGUACCCGCGGCAAGACGGAAAGACCCCGUGAACCUUUACUAUAGCUUGACACUGAACAUUGAGCCUUGAUGUGUAGGAUAGGUGGGAGGCUUUGAAGUGUGGACGCCAGUCUGCAUGGAGCCGACCUUGAAAUACCACCCUUUAAUGUUUGAUGUUCUAACGUGGACCCGUAAUCCGGGUUGCGGACAGUGUCUGGUGGGUAGUUUGACUGGGGCGGUCUCCUCCUAAAGAGUAACGGAGGAGCACGAAGGUUGGCUAAUCCUGGUCGGACAUCAGGAGGUUAGUGCAAUGGCAUAAGCCAGCUUGACUGCGAGCGUGACGGCGCGAGCAGGUGCGAAAGCAGGUCAUAGUGAUCCGGUGGUUCUGAAUGGAAGGGCCAUCGCUCAACGGAUAAAAGGUACUCCGGGGAUAACAGGCUGAUACCGCCCAAGAGUUCAUAUCGACGGCGGUGUUUGGCACCUCGAUGUCGGCUCAUCACAUCCUGGGGCUGAAGUAGGUCCCAAGGGUAUGGCUGUUCGCCAUUUAAAGUGGUACGCGAGCUGGGUUUAGAACGUCGUGAGACAGUUCGGUCCCUAUCUGCCGUGGGCGCUGGAGAACUGAGGGGGGCUGCUCCUAGUACGAGAGGACCGGAGUGGACGCAUCACUGGUGUUCGGGUUGUCAUGCCAAUGGCACUGCCCGGUAGCUAAAUGCGGAAGAGAUAAGUGCUGAAAGCAUCUAAGCACGAAACUUGCCCCGAGAUGAGUUCUCCCUGAGACUUAGAGUCUCCUGAAGGAACGUUGAAGACGACGACGUUGAUAGGCCGGGUGUGUAAGCGCAGCGAUGCGUUGAGCUAACCGGUACUAAUGAACCGUGAGGCUUAACCUUACAACGCCGAAG